CCGCCGCCAGCCCACCGUCGAUCUCGCCCACGGCCGCCGCCUCCAGCCCACCCCUCCCCACCGUCCUCGCCCAUGGCGGCCUCCCCACCUCACCCCACCGCCGACCUCGCCCGCGGCCAACGCCCUCCGCCCCGAAGGCCGAGGUCGUUCCCGUCUCUCGCCCCUGUGCGUGCGCAUACGUCGUAGGCAAGCGUGAGGAGUGGUCGGGUCAGUUGCUUCUUCCCUUCUCGCUUCUCCCGUCACCAUCGCUUCGCCGCGUCUCUCACCUUACCCCUUUCCAUGAUGCAUUGCGGAACUAUUUCUGGAGGUCGCCGCCGCCGCAUUAGUCACUGGAUGGUGUUCCCCUGCUCCGUUGUAAGUAAAAAAAAAACACUGCUUUUCCAGAGAGGCUAUAUCCCUACCUCUGGCCGGAACCGAUAUUGGGUCUUCUGUUUACGUCCGAGAUGAGUUCCCAAGAAAUCCUGUUUGUUUAUUGCCUUUUUGCAUUCUUUUGCAGUGUAUGGAUUUAUUCAUUUUUAAUGUUGCAAGAAAUGGCUUUGUUCUCUAUGCUAGCUCACAGUUUAGAUGCUACUGCUAGGUGUGCUAUUAACAAUCACAUUGGUAGAUCAUUGAAAAACUGAAAAGAUUAAUAUCACUGUAAUUUUCAUCCUUGCCAUGUGCUUCAGGAUAUGGAGUGUAUGCAUCUGAAGACGUGAAGAUGUUGACUCUUUUUCCUUGCUAGGUGCUUCAGGACAUGCAGUGUAUAUAUGAGAAGAUGUACUCUUCUUCUUAGAUCACUGGAUGCUAUUUGCCCACUACUGUUCGAGGCCCAAUUCAGAGUUACGUAACAGGCUGACUGAUUUCCCUUAGAGAAAAAUAAACUAUCAUGUACUGCUUGGAUCACCACGUAUGACGGUGGCUGGCGUUCGUUUUUCUCUCAUCCCGCACUUCCCUGGAUCCAACUCUGAAAGCACCAUGCUAAUUAAUUGCUAUUGCCGCUGGUCAUGAUUAUUGCUGCUAUUUUUUUCAUCUUCCUAUGGAUUUGUUUCCUCCUAUAAAUACUUCCCGUCCCAGUGCCAGUACGGUUAGAUGCAGAUUUACAUCAAGUUCCAAUUAGCCAAAGCAAAAUAUAAGCUGAUGGUUCAAGGUCUCAAAGAAUUAAUGUAGCUUUCACAUUCUUUCUUCUUUGGCCCUUGUACUGUGGUCUAUUAUUGCUUUUCCACUGAAUCACUAGUCUUUUUUCUACAUGUACGAUGUGUGCUUGUGCAGGCGCUGCUUUCAGAAGACAAUGAGUCCGGAACAGACGAGUGAAGAUCAUUGCUGGAUAGUUUCAUAGUUCGAUUUCUACCAGUCCAACCGAUUCAUGUCCUCUGGCUAUUUUUCUGGGAACUACUGUGCAUCCGAAGGAGGAUAUCACUAGUCCACUUGCAGUUCAACUAAUGAUCGACCAUGUUCCGGUAUUUUGGAAAUAGUGAAAUGGCAUGUGUGUCAGAUGAUGCUGCUCCUGAUCAUGAACCUAGGUAACAUAGAAAUGUGUGUAUUUAGUUGUCAUUGCUCUGUGCAAUGUGAUCUAUGAGAAUCAGAGUGGUGUCAUGUAUAUGUACAAAUGUUCUUGCUUUUGAGCAAGUCCAUGUACAACUUUUCAUAUGUAAUUUACUGGAUGUUGAAUGAUGGUUCAGUUGAUUUAUAUGUAUGUAAACAUUAAUUU
Triticum aestivum (bread wheat) is the source of this 1687-nucleotide long non-coding RNA. RefSeq lists it as uncharacterized. The record is from RefSeq and is a predicted model, not a curated record. NCBI's taxonomy places the organism in Eukaryota, Viridiplantae, Streptophyta, Magnoliopsida, Poales, Poaceae. The transcript has 3 exons.